UCACCUACCCAACUAUAAAACCCCAACAACUAUAUAAGUCCACAAAUAAAGUAGAAAGGUCACAACAAUUUUUUUCUAUUCAAACUCCAAUGCUUCCUCUUUAUUUAAAAAAUGAAGCCACAUGUCCAUUUAUACCUUGUGGAAGCCUCAAAACUCUAUCUUUUAGAGUUGAAAGUAAUCACUACAUUUUCAACUCUCAAAGAUUUUACAACAAUGUUGUUGAUGAUGAAGUAAUAGAGAAUGUGAUUGAAGACUUAUUUUUAAGUGAAACUCGGGCAUGAAAUACUUUUUAUAAAAGCAAACAUCCAGUUAUGUACAUCAAUGGGCCAGGUCAAAAAGUGACCCGGCCCAAAAAGAAAUUAGCCAAAAAAAAAAAAGCAAUAAACAUCAAAAUGGAAAGUCAAGAGACAGAUUAGGACAUUUUUGCUUCUAAGGUUCUUGAAUAUGCUCAAUGUCCAUGGUUCUCCUGUAUGCAGAGUGCUCACCGUCCCUUUGUUUCUGUUGAAAAAGAUGAAUGUCACAUCCCUUUUUUAAAAAAAGAUAUAGAUUUUAAAGUUGGAAAGGGUUUUUUAUUUAUUAAAGUGACAAAAGAUUGAUUUGUUUCGAAAAAGACUUUUUAUAUUUAAAACUCAAAAUCCCCACUUGACAUAAUCCGAUGUGCCAAGUCAUCAUUGGAAAAUCCUUUUCAAAAUGAUUUGACUCUUUAAACUGAUUCGCGAAUAGAGAUUUCGAGUAAGGAAUUUUGUUGACCGGGAGAAGGUGUUAGACACCCCUCGAUCCCGUGGUUCGACCACGGUCGCUUGGCGGAGUAUAUCGGCUAAUUUUGACACUAUGAAUGUACAAACCACAAAGAAGUACGUAAAACAAUCAAACAAACAAACCAAAUAAAAGUGAAUCAAAGUAUAGUGUUCAGUCCAAUUAUACAGUCCCGAAAUAAAUAAAAAUACUAAAAUAAAUCCCAUCUAACCUAUAUUAAUCCUAACUACGCUCCCAGGCUUUACCCGAUGCCUCGGGCCUUGAUCACAAUUCGCCUUCGCCAACAUGAUACAUCGGGGCAUUCCCCGGUGAAUAAAUACAUCAAUCUUCGGGGCAUUCCCCAGCCAAAUGAAUACAUUUCAAUCCGAAAACAUAAAUCAACACAUUUCAACAAAACACUUUCAUCAUUCAACGAUUGCAAGUCCUACUUUUGCCUACCCGAACCUACUCUUUACCUAUCCAAUUCGACCUAUCAUGACACUAUUACAUCAACGACAUUCAAUGAAUCAAAAUAAAUUAACGCUUACUUUUUAUCAAUUUCAAUUCCACCUCCCACUAAUUUCAUUUUUCAUCAAUCAAACCUUCAACGUUACUCCGAUUCAUCCCACAUAUCAACGAAAUCAAAUCGUCAAACACAUAAUUAUAACAUCAUAACACCAACAAAAAUCCAAACUAUCAACACACAUAAUCACAACUAAUUCAAAUAAUCGAAAUAAAGAACAGGGAGACGGGUUAAAGAAAUAGACCUUCCGAUAAUCGACUUUUGUUGAUAAUAAAGAGAUCCGAGGUCGAAAUCUUCAAACAAGGAACCCCAACUCAAACCUCAACGACGAAACCGUAAAAGGCCAAAUCGGCUUUGAGAUUCCGCAAACCAAACUGACUUCGACCAAAACAAACCAAUAAUAUGAAACAAAGACUAAAGAAGACCGGGUAAAGGGGACUCUGAUGAGCUUAGUCGGGUAAGAAGCGACGAAACGAAUCAGGCUCCGAAAAUCUUAAUCUUUCCCGUGGAGUUUCGAUCAGCUAAUGAACUAAAAGACCAAUUCCAGCGCGGACUUGCCCACCUGAAAACUCAACCCGACCUCUCUCUCUCGAAUUUUCACCGUUUCCUCACCAUCUCUCCAUUUCUCUCUAGUGCGUGUGUUGUUUUCUCCUUUGAUCGGAACCCUUCCCUAAAAAGAAAAGAAGACGAAGAUCGUAGUUCCCUCAUGUUGCUAUCAGGAUUAGUGAAGAAGAUGGAGUCUUAGUGUAUUCUCUUUCACUGUAUGUUAAUGAAGAAGAAGAUGUGGGCUUGUGGAGAAGACAUGAAAAGAAGAAAUGAACAGAAAAAAAAAUGGAGUCCCUUUGUGCGUAUGAGAAUUCAACCCAUCGUGAGGAUGAUUGGAAUUGAGAGUGUAUUAUGUGAGUGAGGUAUUCUAAUUGUGAAUGAAAUGUGAGUUGUCCGUGUGAAGAAGAGGAAAAUGGAUAAUUGUUUUUUCAAAAUUCUUCCAUGGGCUCCAUUAUUUGUUUUCUGUAUAUUGUGUAUGGAUGAUAUAGAUGAAAAUGGUCCAGUCCUCCUAAAAAAGUGGAAGAAGGUAUGAGUAUAUGGUCAUCCACAAAAAUCCCUCCCAGUGAAGCUUUUGUAUGUGCGUGUAUACAAUUCUGUGGUGGG
RNAcentral lists this long non-coding RNA (2407 nucleotides) under Capsicum annuum. RNAcentral describes it as "long non-coding RNA (CANN_LNC016558)". The record is from RNAcentral. Lineage: Eukaryota; Viridiplantae; Streptophyta; Magnoliopsida; Solanales; Solanaceae.